Long non-coding RNA from Bolinopsis microptera, 358 nucleotides. RefSeq lists it as uncharacterized. NCBI's taxonomy places the organism in Eukaryota, Metazoa, Ctenophora, Tentaculata, Lobata, Bolinopsidae. The record is from RefSeq and is a predicted model, not a curated record. The transcript is spliced from 5 exons.
UGAUUUCAACAUUAUGGAUUCUAUGUGCUUUGCUUUUCAUCACAAAAGCGGAGCAUUUGGUUUGGCCUACUUCGGAAAACAACCCAGAUUGCCCUCAGUGUAAGUUCUUCAGCCAACCUGGAGCUAACUUCAGUUCUGUAAUCAUGGUGGACGGGAAGCUGGUUGUAGGAGCUAAGAACGCACUCUACUACCUGGACUUCACGCAGGAAACAGUCGGCUAUUUCCCAGACGAGACCGUUCCACCCGCUAAUUUCGAUGUGUGUACCAACUCGUACGGACAGAAUCAGGACGACUGCCAGAACUAUUUUAAGGUUAUUUUAAAACUGAGAAACCAGGAUCUCUUUAUCUGCGGUACUGA